Megalobrama amblycephala (Wuchang bream) is the source of this 1322-nucleotide long non-coding RNA. RefSeq lists it as uncharacterized. The record is from RefSeq and is a predicted model, not a curated record. Lineage: Eukaryota; Metazoa; Chordata; Actinopteri; Cypriniformes; Xenocyprididae. The transcript is spliced from 4 exons.
UCCCGUCGCCGCCCACACUGUUGAAAGCGGCAUUUAUGAAUAUAUAAUGCGCACUUUCCUCUCAGUAAAAAAUAUAAACGCAACAAAAAUGACAGCGGUGAGAAGACAACAGUUAAAAAGGCAUCUGUUCAUGGUGAUAUUGAUAUGUUUGCACCAGCUCUGCAAUUUACCGGCAUCAAGUUGACAGAUGAGGAGCGUUUCACCUGGUGGAAACAUCAUUCUCCAUAUGCCAAGAUGAUGAGUUGGAGCAUCCUGAUCAUUAGGCCAUCAUUCUGGGCAGGUGUGCUCACUCUGAACGGAACCAGAUAAAAACAGGCACUGUUGGAUUAGGCAGACUAAGGCGACUUUGCUUGAGGAAAUAUUCAAAGACGCCCAGGGGAGCAGCCGCUCAUCCAUCACAGGCCAGCGUGGAGUCCAGCGGCGUGGCCCUGAGGAUCAGCCUGCCCACAGCAGCAAAGCAGCUAAUAGCGACACAGAACACAAGCACCCCUGGGGACGAGACCAAGCAGUCGCCUGCUACGAAAACAGAGCAGUGGAGGGGAUCAAGCCCAGCUUUGCCCUUCAAAAGGAUGAAGAACAGCCGCUUUCAGCUGACGUGACAGCUGGGUAUCAAGUUUUACAAAAAUGCUGUGAUAGAUAUUAAUAACUCUUUGUUUAUGUUGCUGGUGAGCUCCACCUGAGCAGCAGGUGCAGGGCUCUGAUAACAUCAUAACUGAGAACACACAGGUGUGAGCAAACAGGAAGGAACAAAUACACCAGCGGGUUUUGGAUGUCACUCUGGAUAGCAUUUCUCCUUGUGCGGCUCCCUGAGAGACACUGUCUGCUGAGGGUCAUAAACCAAACGGGCAAAGUCAGUGUGAGGAGGACACUGUGUUAUGAAGGAUAACACAAACCAGGGAUGGAAUACUUUCUUAAACUCUACUUAUAUAAACAUGUAUGUGAAUUAUGCGCUAUAGUUCACUAUAUGUAACAAGAACAUCUAGUUAUGUUCUGUUGUAACUUAUGUGGACUAGAUAUUUGAAUAUAUUUCUCAUGCCAUUGUUUCUGAUGCCGAUAUAUGACAGCUUAAAUGUUCUGUUGGUUUGAAUUUAGGUAAUAUUGUGUUGUGUUGAGUGGUAGUUUUCAGGGUGGGCAGUAUAGCAUGCAAGUCACAAGAGCUCAGGUUUAUGGUGAAUUCAGACGUUUCAUUUUUCAAAUAUAAUGGGUCAUUGUGCGUGUGUUCUUUGCUACUGUCCUUGAAGUACACUAUGUGGGGGUAAAAUCUGGUUUUGCAUAAGGCUGUUAGUCCUUCCCACCCUCUUUAUAUAUAUAAGGGAUGUCGA